Molecule: ribosomal RNA, 555 nt
Filed under: Limnonectes kuhlii (Kuhl's wart frog)
Lineage: Eukaryota; Metazoa; Chordata; Amphibia; Anura; Dicroglossidae
Description: partial 16S ribosomal RNA
Rfam family: Bacterial large subunit ribosomal RNA
Source: RNAcentral
UUUCCCAAAGGGGUACAUAGUUAAACGGCCGCGGUACCCUGUACCGUGCGAAGGUAGCAUAAUCACUUGUUCUUUAAAUAAGGACUAGUAUCAACGGCAUCACGAGGGUUCUACUGUCUCCCCCCUCUAAUCAGUGAAACUGACUUCCCCGUGAAGAGGCGGGGAUACAACUACAAGACGAGAAGACCCCAUGGAGCUUUAAACCCGCUAACAACCCCUAUUGAAAUACUCCCAUAUAAAUGAAAAGCACUGUAUAGCGGUUUUAGGUUGGGGUGACCACGGAGUAAAAUUAAACCUCCAUGACGAACGGAAUAUAUCCUAAUCCACGAGCCACCACUCUAAGAAUCAAAAACUUGACAUAAUAUGAUCCGGUGACCGAUCAACGAACCAAGUUACCCUGGGGAUAACAGCGCAAUCCAUUUCAAGAGCCCCUAUCGACAAAUGGGUUUACGACCUCGAUGUUGGAUCAGGGUAUCCCAGUGGUGCAGCCGCUACUAAAGGUUUGUUUGUUCAACAAUUAAAACCCUACGUGAUCUGAGUUCAGAACCGGGAGAA